RNAcentral lists this ribosomal RNA (542 nucleotides) under uncultured bacterium. RNAcentral's name for it is "bacterial SSU rRNA". It matches the Rfam family "Bacterial small subunit ribosomal RNA", at positions 8 to 526 of the family's 1533-position model. The record is from RNAcentral.
AGAGUUUGAUCCUGGCUCAGAGCGAACGUUAGCGGCAGGCCUAACACAUGCAAGUCGCACGAGAAUCCGGCUUCGGCCGGUAGUAAAGUGGCGGACGGGUGAGUAACACGUGGAUAAUCUGCCCUUCGGCGGGGGACAACAGUCCGAAAGGAUUGCUAAUACCGCAUACGUCAGCGAGGUCUUCGGACCUCGUUGGGAAAGAUGGCCUCUUCAUGAAAGCUAUCACCGAAGGAUGAGUCCGCGGCCCAUCAGCUGGUUGGCGGGGUAAUGGCCCACCAAGGCUAAGACGGGUAGCUGGUCUGAGAGGAUGAUCAGCCACACUGGAACUGAGACACGGUCCAGACUCCUACGGGAGGCAGCAGUGGGGAAUAUUGGGCAAUGGGCGCAAGCCUGACCCAGCCAUGCCGCGUGAGUGAUGAAGGCCUUCGGGUCGUAAAGCUCUGUGGGGAGGGAAGAAACCGGACGUGGAUAACACCCACGGCUCUUGACGGUACCUCCUUAGCAAGCACCGGCUAACUCCGUGCCAGCAGCCGCGGUAAUAC